UUGAAAAUUUUUUUUUGACGAAAAUCGCUUUAAUGGUCAUAAAAUUGAUGUUCCUCUACUCGGAUCGGGCUGCCAAUUUGUUUCUACACUUUUAGGUGUAUUUUGUGCAAGAAAUUGCAAUAAAAUAAUGUGCCUAAGAAUAAUUGAAUUUUUUUGAAAAUUUUUUUUUGACGAAAAUCGCUUUAAUGGUCAUAAAAUUUGUGUUCCUCUACUCGGAUCGGGCUGUCAAUUUUUUUCUACACUUUUAGGUGUAUUUUGUGCAAGAAAUUGCAAUAAAAUAGUCUGCCUAAGAAAAAUUGAAUUUUUUUGAAAAUUUUUUUUUGACGAAAAUCGCUUUAAUGGUCAUAAAAUUGGUGUUCCUCUACUCGGAUCGGGCCGUCAAUUUUUUUCUACACUUUUAGGUGUAUUUUGUGCAAGAAAUUGCAAUAAAAUAGUCUGCCUAAGAAAAAUUGAAUUUUUUUGAAAAUUUUUUUUUGACGAAAAUCGCUUUAAUGGUCAUAAAAUUGGUGUUCCUCUACUCGGAUCGAACUGUCAAUUUUUUUCUACACUUUUAGGUGUAUUUUGUGCAAGAAAUUGCAAUAAAAUAAUGUGCCUAAGAAAAAUUGAAUUUUUUUGAAAAUUUUUUUUUGACGAAAAUCGCUUUAAUGGUCAUAAAAUUGGUGUUCCUCUACUCGGAUCGGGCUGCCAAUUUUUUUCUACACUUUUAGGUGUAUUUUGUGCAAGAAAUUGCAAUAAAAUAAUGUGCCUAAGAAUAAUUGAAUUUUUUUGAAAAUUUUUUUUUGACGAAAAUCGAUUUAAUGGUCAUAAAAUUGGUGUUCCUCUACUCGGAUCGGGCUGUCAAUUUUUUUCUACACUUUUAGGUGUAUUUUGUGCAAGAAAUUGCAAUAAAAUAGUGUGCCUAAGAAAAAUUGAAUUUUUUUGAAAUUUUUUUUUUGACGAAAAUCGCAUUAAUGGUCAUAAAAUUGGUGUUCCUCUACUCGGAUCGGUCUGUCAAUUUUUUUCUACACUUUUAGAUGUAUUUUGUGCAAGAAAUUGCAAUAAAAUAAUGUGCCUAAGAAAAAUUGAAUUUUUUUGAAAAUUUUUUUUUGACGAAAAUCGCUUUAAUGGUCAUAAAAUUGGUGUUCCUCUACUCGGAUCGAACUGUCAAUUUUUUUCUACACUUUUAGGUGUAUUUUGUGCAAGAAAUUGCAAUAAAAUAGUGUGCCUAAGAAAAAUUGAAUUUUUUUGAAAAUUUUUUUUUGACGAAAAUCGCUUUAAUGGUCAUAAAAUUGGUGUUCCUCUACUCGGAUCGGGCCGUCAAUUUUUUUCUACACUUUUAGGUGUAUUUUGUGCAAGAAAUUGCAAUAAAAUAGUCUGCCUAAGAAAAAUUGAAUUUUUUUGAAAAUUUUUUUUUGACGAAAAUCGCUUUAAUGGUCAUAAAAUUGGUGUUCCUCUACUCGGAUCGGGCCGUCAAUUUUUUUCUACACUUUUAGGUGUAUUUUGUGCAAGAAAUUGCAAUAAAAUAGUCUGCCUCAGAAAAAUUGAAUUUUUUUGAAAAUUUUUUUUUGACGAAAAUCGCUUUAAUGGUCAUAAAAUUGGUGUUCCUCUACUCGGAUCGGGCCGUCAAUUUUUUUCUACACUUUUAGGUGUAUUUUGUGCAAGAAAUUGCAAUAAAAUAGUCUGCCUAAGAAAAAUUGAAUUUUUUUGAAAAUUUUUUUUUGACGAAAAUCGCUUUAAUGGUCAUAAAAUUGGUGUUCCUCUACUCGGAUCGAACUGUCAAUUUUUUUCUACACUUUUAGGUGUAUUUUGUGCAAGAAAUUGCGAUAAAAUAAUGUGCCUAAGAAAAAUUGAAUUUUUUUGAAAAUUUUUUUUUGACGAAAAUCGCUUUAAUGGUCAUAAAAUUGGUGUUCCUCUACUCGGAUCGGGCCGUCAAUUUGUUUCUACACUUUUAGGUGUAUUUUGUUCAAGAAAUUGCAAUAAAAUAGUCUGCCUAUGAAAAAUUGAAUUUUGUAGAAAAUUUUUAUGGUUAUGGUUGGCUUAUGGGUGUUAAUAGGGGUUUUUCUCUACUUGUAGCGGUGUGUCAAUUGUCUUCUGUACUUUUAGUUGUAUUUUGUGCGAGUUUUUGCAAUAAAAUUGUGUGUGAUGAACUUUCUUUUUUUUUUGAAAAAUGUCAGUAUUGGGGAUUAUACUGGUUAUAGGGUUGUUUUUCUAAUGAAUUUGGUGUUGAAUUUAAUUUUUUUUUUAAGUUUAAUGUUGUUUUGAAGUUUUUGUAAUUUUUUGUUGUAUUUAUGCAGUAUUUUGGUUUUAAAUUUUCUAUGAUCGUAAUCGUUGUGAACUUCACCGACCUAUAUUUUCAAUAAAAUC
Long non-coding RNA from Leptopilina boulardi, 2343 nucleotides. RefSeq lists it as uncharacterized. The transcript is spliced from 3 exons. The record is from RefSeq and is a predicted model, not a curated record. Lineage: Eukaryota; Metazoa; Arthropoda; Insecta; Hymenoptera; Figitidae.